GCCAGGCACAGUGGUGUAUGCCUGUAAUCCCAGCAGUUAGGGAGGCUGAGACAGGAGGAUCGCGAGUUCAAAGCCAGUCUCAGCAAUGGCGAGGCACUAAGCAUCUCAGUGAGACCCUGUCUCUA
RNAcentral lists this small RNA (125 nucleotides) under Marmota monax (woodchuck). Lineage: Eukaryota; Metazoa; Chordata; Mammalia; Rodentia; Sciuridae. The record is from RNAcentral.